UAAUGGUAAAAGUCCCUGUCUAACAGGA
This 28-nucleotide non-coding RNA is filed under the name Homo sapiens (human). Lineage: Eukaryota; Metazoa; Chordata; Mammalia; Primates; Hominidae. The record is from RNAcentral.